UCAACUUGCCCUUUCUACCGAAUCUAAGGACUUUCCUCCAUGUGGACACCUUCAAAAACACCUUAUCGCCAACUUGAAAUUUGAUCUCUUUUAAUUUCAAAUCUACAUAGGAUUUCUAUCUAUCUGAUGCGGGCUUUAUACAAUCACGAAUCACUUUAAUCUUUUCUUUAGUUUCUCUGGCUAAGUGACCCCGUGAUCUGAUU
RNAcentral lists this long non-coding RNA (203 nucleotides) under Gossypium barbadense (sea-island cotton). Its description in RNAcentral is "long non-coding RNA (GBAR_LNC003325)". The record is from RNAcentral. Lineage: Eukaryota; Viridiplantae; Streptophyta; Magnoliopsida; Malvales; Malvaceae.